Molecule: ribosomal RNA, 627 nt
Filed under: Bacillus sp. (in: firmicutes)
Lineage: Bacteria; Bacillati; Bacillota; Bacilli; Caryophanales; Bacillaceae
Description: bacterial SSU rRNA
Rfam family: Bacterial small subunit ribosomal RNA
Source: RNAcentral
AUACAUGCAGUCGAGCGAAUUGAUGGGAGCUUGCUCCCUGAUAUUAGCGGCGGACGGGUGAGUAACACGUGGGUAACCUGCCUGUAAGAUUGGGAUAACUCCGGGAAACCGGAGCUAAUACCGGAUAACAUGUUGAACCGCAUGGUUCAACAUUGAAAGAUGGCUUUUGCUAUCACUUACAGAUGGACCCGCGGCGCAUUAGCUAGUUGGUGAGGUAACGGCUCACCAAGGCAACGAUGCGUAGCCGACCUGAGAGGGUGAUCGGCCACACUGGGACUGAGACACGGCCCAGACUCCUACGGGAGGCAGCAGUAGGGAAUCUUCCGCAAUGGACGAAAGUCUGACGGAGCAACGCCGCGUGAACGAUGAAGGCCUUCGGGUCGUAAAGUUCUGUUGUUAGGGAAGAACAAGUACCAGAGUAACUGCUGGUACCUUGACGGUACCUAACCAGAAAGCCACGGCUAACUACGUGCCAGCAGCCGCGGUAAUACGUAGGUGGCAAGCGUUGUCCGGAAUUAUUGGGCGUAAAGCGCGCGCAGGUGGUUUCUUAAGUCUGAUGUGAAAGCCCACGGCUCAACCGUGGAGGGUCAUUGGAAACUGGGGAACUUGAGUGCAGAAGAGGAAAGU